Molecule: unclassified non-coding RNA, 446 nt
Filed under: Hevea brasiliensis (rubber tree)
Lineage: Eukaryota; Viridiplantae; Streptophyta; Magnoliopsida; Malpighiales; Euphorbiaceae
Source: RNAcentral
AGCUCACGAAGACAUUUUAGUGACCCUAAUUCUUUGGGAAUGAAUCCAGUAAGCUCGUUGUUUACAAUGUGAAGGGAAGUUAAAUUUUUCAGGUUUCCCCAAGUAGCUGGAAUAGGACCUGUGAGACUGUUGUUUGUCAAAACAAGUUCUUUAAGGGAUGUUAACAUUCCUAUUUCCAUAGGAAUCAAACCAGACAGUCUGUUGACAUGAAGGUGUAGAAUGGUAAGUUUGCCCAAAUUUCCUAUGGAAGCAGGAAGUCGACCUGUGAGCUUGUUGUGGGACAAAAAGGCAACACUGAGUGACCUCAACUUUCCAAUUUCCUGAGGGAUUGAACCAGAAAGUUUGUUGUAACGAAGGUUUAGAGCUCUUAGUUCAAUCAAAUUUCCUAUAGAAGAAGGAAUAGGACCUGUCAGAUCGUUGUAAGAAAAAACAAGCACAUCGAGAGA